AUUGACGGUCUCCCUUGGUUGAACGAUUUCGGUGUGUAUUGUGUUGAAUUGAAGACGCAGCGGGAAUAUCGAGCGGGUAAUCCUGCAGGUCAGGAGAAUCAGGGCGGUGAUCGAGCGGGUUAGAGUAUUUGUUAUAGUUUUACAGCAUUUGUAAUAGUGAGGUGAGUUAAGCUCAUUGAGCCUUACAAUUUGAUUUGGUGAGAGUGUGUUGUAAUAAUUAACUUGAGGAUUUGAUUUAUUGUAAUAUUGAGAGGUGUGAAGUGUGGUUGUUUGUGAGAAAAAAAUUCAGGACGUUUAUUCUA
This is a long non-coding RNA of Rosa rugosa (rugosa rose), 302 nucleotides long. RefSeq lists it as uncharacterized. The transcript is spliced from 2 exons. NCBI's taxonomy places the organism in Eukaryota, Viridiplantae, Streptophyta, Magnoliopsida, Rosales, Rosaceae. The record is from RefSeq and is a predicted model, not a curated record.